GACGUAGGAGGCGAGCGUUAUCCGGAUUUAUUGGGCGUAAAGGGCAAGUAGGCGGUUGUCAAAGUUGGGCGUGACAACUCCCGGCUCAACUGGGAGGGUGCGUUCAAAACUAGGCAACUAGAGGGCAGGAGAGGGAAGUGGAAUUCCCAGUGUAGCGGUGGAAUGCUCAGAUAUUGGGAAGAACACCAGUGGCGAAGGCGGCUUCCUGGCCUGCACCUGACGCUGAGAGGCGAAAGCUAGGGUAGCAAACGGGCUUAGAUACCCCGGUAGUCCCUGAG
Molecule: ribosomal RNA, 278 nt
Filed under: uncultured prokaryote
Description: partial 16S ribosomal RNA
Rfam family: Bacterial small subunit ribosomal RNA
Source: RNAcentral